This 1179-nucleotide ribosomal RNA is filed under the name Triticum aestivum (bread wheat). Its description in RNAcentral is "partial small subunit ribosomal RNA". The record is from RNAcentral. Lineage: Eukaryota; Viridiplantae; Streptophyta; Magnoliopsida; Poales; Poaceae.
AUGGUUAUAAUAGGAGGAGAUGCGGAUGGCAAUGAAGAAGAUCGUUCUGGAAGUCAGUCGCUUCGCUGGAACUCGAAGCGUCCUGCUAAUCGCCAGCCACGAUCUGCACGGAGUGUUGAGCAGGGAGAGGAUGUUGAGGAUGCUGAUGAGUUCCGUGUUGUAAAGCGGACUAGACGUGCAACACUUGGAAAGGGAGCUGAGUCAUCUUCAAGGGCAGCAGUUGCUGGAGGAGCUGUCGCAUCUUCCGCAGCAGAUGCUGAGGCCAACGGUGAAGGAGUUGAGGUGGCUGCAGGGGAAGAUGUGGAGCGACCAUCACAAGCGGGCAGGAUAAGGGCAUCACCAGCGCGGUUUGCAAAUUUCAAUGCCUCUCUAACCCCACUACAGAAGUCAGAGCUAGUUUCGAGGUUGUUCGGGGGGCUAUUGAACUUAUCAGACACACUUCCAGCGGACCUCAGUAAGUUCCUGGUGCAGUCCUACCAGCCACAGACCUCUGAAAUGGUUUUCCCAGGAAGGGGAAGGAUCCGUGUCGAUGCUGACAGUGUUCAGAGGGUAUUUGAUCUCCCAAACAGGGGUCAAAAAGUCAGGUAUUUAGUUGACAAGGAUGCCACUAGGAGAUUCAGACAGGCUUUCAACAUAACUGGAAAUUCUCAUCCCCAGAUCACUACAUGGCUCAAGAUGAUUCAGGAUAUGGCUGGAAGAACGGAUGACACAUUCUUUAUGGCCUGGCUUGCGAUACUAUACCUUGAUGCUCUCGUACAUGACAUCCCAGUAAGCAACUGCGCGAUACGAUCGAAUGCAUGGGAUAGUACUCUAAUUGCCAAGGUGAUCAAGAAGGAUACUAUCUCUCCUGGUGUGAUCAAGAAGGAUACUCUUAAAGAGGAGUAUAGAGGCACGGAGCAGACACCACUGUUUGAUGGAAUUUUACAAGCUGAAGCAUUCGUGGCAUCCAAGUUACCAAUAACCUACAAUCCGCAGGCAAAGAUUGCGAAAGUGGUCAAUGACCUGUGCAAGGCUGUAACUGAACAGGUUGGCACCUUCAUUGAAGCAGUUGCCAAGAUCGAUGACGAGGAACCGGAUAUUGAUCCUUACGAGAUGCCAUGGUCCUUGAACCCAUACGAAGAUCAAAGUCUUAUCAUGGUGACGGGUUCUAUGAUGCACCAUCUUUUGACCUCGGCAUAG